AGGGAAUCUUCCACAAUGGACGAAAGUCUGAUGGAGCAACGCCGCGUGAGUGAUGAAGGUUUUCGGAUCGUAAAACUCUGUUGUAAGGGAAGAACAAGUACGAGAGGUAAUGCUCGUACCUUGACGGUACCUGGCGAGAAAGCCACGGCUAACUACGUGCCAGCAGCCGCGGUAAUACGUAGGUGGCAAGCGUUGUCCGGAAUUAUUGGGCGUAAAGCGCGCGCAGGCGGCCUUUUAAGCCUGCUGGG
Molecule: ribosomal RNA, 248 nt
Filed under: uncultured Exiguobacterium sp.
Lineage: Bacteria; Bacillati; Bacillota; Bacilli; Caryophanales
Description: partial 16S ribosomal RNA
Rfam family: Bacterial small subunit ribosomal RNA
Source: RNAcentral